UUUUGAAUACUAUUAUAGAUAGAGAUAACCUGUAGACAGCAAUAAUGUUCAGAAAAGUAAGAUUUACAAAUAAGUCAACAUGACUAAAAUGGUCAAUUGACCCCUUAGGAGUUAUUGUCCUUUAUACUCAAUUUUUAACAAUUUUCAUAAAAUUUGUAAAUUUUUACUAACAUUUUCCACUGAAACUACUGGGCCAAGUUCAUUAUAGAUAGAGAUAAUUGUAAGCAGCAAGAAUGUUCAGUAAAGUAAGAUGUACAACCACAUCACCAUCAACAAAACACAAUUUUGUCAUGAAUCUAUCAGCUUCUUUUGUUUAAUAUUCAAAUAUACCAAGGUGAGCGACACAGGCUCUUUAGAGCCUCUAGUUUAUAAUAUACUGUUGUCAUUUAGUAAUGAGUCUGGUAUUUUGCAACUAAAUACAAAUUUCCUGAUUUUUUACAGUUUAAAUAAAACUA
This 455-nucleotide long non-coding RNA is filed under the name Mytilus galloprovincialis (Mediterranean mussel). Lineage: Eukaryota; Metazoa; Mollusca; Bivalvia; Mytilida; Mytilidae. The record is from RNAcentral.